This 468-nucleotide ribosomal RNA is filed under the name uncultured bacterium. RNAcentral's name for it is "partial 16S ribosomal RNA". It matches the Rfam family "Bacterial small subunit ribosomal RNA", at positions 28 to 507 of the family's 1533-position model. The record is from RNAcentral.
GACGAACGCUGGCGGCGUGCUUAACACAUGCAAGUCGAACGGAAAGGCCCUGCUGUUGUGAGGUGCUCGAGUGGCGAACGGGUGAGUAACACGUGAGUAACCUGCCCUUGACUUUGGGAUAACUUCAGGAAACUGGGGCUAAUACCGGAUAGGAGCUCCUGCUGCAUGGUGGGGGUUGGAAAGUUUCGGCGGUUGGGGAUGGACUCGCGGCUUAUCAGCUUGUUGGUGGGGUAGUGGCUUACCAAGGCUUUGACGGGUAGCCGGCCUGAGAGGGUGACCGGCCACAUUGGGACUGAGAUACGGCCCGGACUCCUACGGGAGGCAGCGGUGGGGAAUAUUGCACAAUGGGCGGAAGCCUGAUGCAGCAACGCCGCGUGCGGGAUGACGGCCUUCGGGUUGUAAACCGCUUUCGCCUGUGACGAAGCGUGAGUGACGGUAAUGGGUAAAGAAGCACCGGCUAACUACGUG